Hordeum vulgare subsp. vulgare (domesticated barley) is the source of this 1723-nucleotide long non-coding RNA. RefSeq lists it as uncharacterized. The record is from RefSeq and is a predicted model, not a curated record. The transcript is spliced from 5 exons. Lineage: Eukaryota; Viridiplantae; Streptophyta; Magnoliopsida; Poales; Poaceae.
UCCUGCCUGAUCCCUUUUUCUGCUGCCGUCCUGCGCGGGUUCCCCGCUAGCGGCUGGCCGCACCUUACCACCCCCGUCCGGCCGUCCUCCGCCCAGGUAGACAGGAAGAAGCGAGGAGGGUCGUAUCCGACUGCGGCACAUGGAGAGGUGGACCAGGGGCGACGCAUCUCCCCGGCGAGCACGGGAAUACUGCUGUGAUUCAGACAGGGUGACUGGCCGCCGUCGGCGCCGCCCGAGUACAGAGCCUACAUCGCCCACGGUCAGCGCUCAGUUUCAUGCCCAUCGCCACCGGCGACCUCUCGGAAAACGGGCAGACGGCGGGAGUUUAGGACACCACUGCCGAUGCGGCCAUAACCUGGGCUUCUCCUUAUCCACAUCCAGGCGGUUGGCUCUGCUUCUUCUCCAGUGAUCGAAUUGCAAUAUCUACCUCUCGAUACCUAGGCAACUGAGCUUGCUGCUGCUGUUGGAGCACUGAACACUUGGUCUUGGACAUCACAGCCACCCCACCAUUACCUUGGACGCUACUUCAAAUCCUGGCGGCACAAAAUUUUAGUGGAAACAUAAGGAAAUUUGCAAGCGGGGAUUAGAAGAAUUAUUGUGAACUGAAUGAAGAAGCUAUGCGCCUUUUAGCGAACUUUUAUAUGCUUGCAUAGUUUUUGCUCUUCGACAAUGAACCUUGUAAAAUUUCAAAAAAUUCUUACUAAGUUAAUUAAGCUUCAUGUUUGACAGAUUUUCAUUAGGAAUAGAUACCCUUUUGUCAAAGAAGUAUCACGUCAGAUUUACCAUCUUGUAAAAUCAACUGUGAUGGGGCGUUCUCUGCACCUGAGGGCACUGGUGGUGGUGGCUGGGGCUUCGUCAUACAGGACUUGCAUGGAGAUGUGAGAGGCUUUGGAGCGGGGCGCCUUCAACAUGUAGCAAGUGCUCUUCAAGCGAAAGCGACGUCAUGCAGUGCUGCUCUGCAAGCGGCCUUCUGAUGGGGUAUGAAAAAUGUGGAGGUCGAGUCUAAUUGCCAGACACUAAUAAAAGCGCUCCAAAGUUCAGUUUAUGACAGGGCACCAGAAGGAAUUUUAUUGAGAGAGAUUUGGGACUUCGCUCGUCUAAGUUUCAGUGCUUGCACGUUUUAUUUUGCCCCCAAGGCAUGUAAUAACUUGGUGCAUGCUCUUGCAGCUUUUGGUGCCUCUCAACAGGCAGGCCUACAUCUGUGGUUAGAGGACCUGCCUGACAAGGUACUUGUUUGACGGGACAGCGCUUUGGCUAAGCCAGUCUAGGUGCUAGGUGUUGUGAUUUUGUGACUUCUAUAGCUUGCACUUGCAGUCGGGGGAUGUAUUGUCGUUUGAUUAGGUAGACGAGGUGACAUAUUGUAGUUGACAAUAAAGGUGUCGAACUCUUUCGGUAGUGAAGCCAUCACCAGGUGGACCAGGAGCGCAGGUUUGAGCUCCAAAUCCGCAUCCAUGGGCUUUAGCUUGGCUGACAUGUCGCUCAUCCUGAAGAUUUUCUCUCUUAUUCCAUGACCACCGCCAUUGUAGUUCUCUGUCACAAGUUGCUUUAUCAACUAUGUGGCAUAUGUCUUUGAAGAACCAGUGAACUGGCUCUUUAUCUUUGUAAGCAACUCCUCCACGGAAGUGCACUCUGCAAUUGAGCCCACGAUGACGUUCUCAAUUGUAGUCUUUAUAAAUGUCAUGCAUUUGUUGGCGGAGAGCCAAUUUUGAUUUUCGAGUGUAAA